RNAcentral lists this ribosomal RNA (372 nucleotides) under uncultured organism. RNAcentral's name for it is "partial 16S ribosomal RNA". It matches the Rfam family "Bacterial small subunit ribosomal RNA", at positions 527 to 896 of the family's 1533-position model. The record is from RNAcentral.
GAAGGUGGCAAGCGUUGUUCGGAAUCACUGGGCUUAAAGCGCGCGUAGGCGGGAAAUACAAGUGUCAUGUGAAAUCCCUCGGCUUAACCGGGGAAUUGCUUGGCAAACUGUAUUUCUUGAGGCAAGUAGGGGUACAUGGAACUCUUGGUGGAGCGGUGGAAUGCGUAGAUAUCAAGAGGAACGCCAAUGGUGAAGACAGUGUACUGGGCUUGUCCUGACGCUGAGGUGCGAAAGCGUGGGGAGCGAACGGGAUUAGAUACCCCGGUAGUCCACGCCGUAAACGAUGUCUACUAGGUUGUGGAGGCUCUGACGCCCUCACGGCCGGAGCAAAAGUGUUAAGUAGACCGCCUGGUGAGUACGGCCGCAAGGCUA